UCCUUUCUCAUAUAUAAUUGUCAAGAUUUUUGUUCAUCAAGCUAUACUUGUCAUACAGGUUGAUCAUCAAGACCACUCAUUUUCUAUCUACAACAAUAAUAAUAAAUAAAUAAAAAUAAAAAAACUAAACUAUUAAGUCACGAAUUCUCCAACAUUUCCUUCUCUCUUAUCAUAUUCACAUCUGCCUAUAAACAAGGCAUUCCACCCACAUUGCAAAUUAAAUUACUCUCUUCAAGAAAGAUCACAACAGAAGAAAACAAUAUGAAACUUAGCUUCUCUUACCUUUCCCUCCUACUUUUCUUCAUUGCCUUCCACUCCAUAACUGCAGCCAAUCUCAUCAUCCAAGAAACUUGCAGGAAAUGUGCCCAUAUUGAUCCUAACAUUCACUACAACUUCUGUGUAGCUUCCCUUCAAGCGUCUCCCGAUGCCCACUGCGCUAAUCUUCGCCAACUUGGCAUCAUCUCCCUCAAGAUAACUCGCCUCAACGUGACCGACACCGGGCACUAUAUUAAGGACCUCUUGAAGAGCAAAAGACUGGAUCCCAAACUCAGGGCUUGCUUAAAUGAUUGCCUCGAUCUUUAUUCAGAUGCCAUCCCCGCUCUGAAACAAGCCAUCAAAGACUAUAAUUCUAACCGUUAUGAAGAAGCCAAUAUUGUAGUGAGUUCAGUUACCGAUGCCUCCACGACCUGUGAAGAUGGAUUCAAAGAAAUAGGCAUAGUUUCACCAUUAACAGAAAGGAAUAACAAUACGUUCGAGUUGUCUGCUAUAGCGCUUUCGAUCAUCAAUAUGCUCCAUUAAUUUCCUAUUCUUCCCAUCAUUUGUCCUGUUUGGUUUUUUCUAGGUUAAUGGUUAUACGUCAGUUUCUAUAAACUUGGUUAGGUUCAUCAAUUAUGAAGUAAAUUUGUCUUCUUGUUCAUUACAGACUUACUCCUUUUUUUACACGACAAUAGGGUAGAAGCAUUAUAAAAUAGCCAUUUUGUGUUUUGAAGCAAAAUCUGAUCAGAGUAACUUCCAACUUAAUCUUGUCUAAUUCUUUAGAUUUAGCAGAAAAAUUUUGAAAAUUUGCAUUCUACAUCAUGAAAAAGUCAUUCAAAUCACAGAAAAGGGUGGAGAAAGCGGCAAAAAUGACAUUUAACAAUUGUAUUAAGAUUGAUCAUAGUUGAGAGGGCAUAGCAAGAGCAAAACCAGAAUAAAUAGAGACGUAUGGUUGGCACGUGAUACGACCAUCUGUGAGCAUAUAAGAAAAGUAAUACAUUUGGAUAAAUUCCACUGCACGAAAUGGACGUUCUCUGAUCUUAUUCCUAUUCAAGCUGAGGACGGGGAAAAAAACCCUAUCGUUGCAGCAAAAAAGAAAUUUGCUAAAGUGACUGCCACCACAACAGAGUCCACAAGUCCGUGAUAAAAUAGUAGAAAGGUUAACCAAAUCACACAUAUUGCCAUUUAAGUUCAAGGCUAUAAUCAUGUUCUAGAGCACUAAAAUUUGGGAUGAGGCCAGUGAAAGAAACUGUGCAUCAGGUUUUGUUUAGUGCAAAUGAUGAAAAAAAAAAAAAAAUAGAAAGUAAACAGUCGGGGGAGGACCAUAACAAGGUCAUGCAGUUUAACGAAUAAAUCUUUCUCCCAGACCCUAGGCUAAUUGUUUUUGAAAAGACAUGGUCUCUUGGUCAUUGCCAUGGUUACAGCACAGAAUUGCUCUUUGACUGUAUAACCAUAUGGCUAAGGCACGCCCCAAGUCUGCAAUCAAACCAAUCCACACAAGGAAGAAGGCGAGAGAAUUUGAGCAUUCUAACGUCGAUAAGAAUGGCAUGCAAUUAUGGGAGUUCCAAAGUAAAACUAAAAACAAAAUGAAAUCAUGUCUAGUUCUGUUGCCGCUACUCUGACCAAACAGAUUCACAUUAUUUUCCAACCCAUUACCAGGAUCAAAUCCAUACCAGACACCAAACAAGAACAAACAAGAAGAUCACAGCUUUCCUCAAAAUUCAAGGCAAGAAUCCCAUGCCUAAAUCAAGCAGCCAUCGGAUGGUUAUAAACAUACUCAAUAGCAAGAUUACAGGAGUCAAUCUUAACUGCUUCCUUGUCUGGAAUUUCCAGCUUGAACUCCUCUUCUAUAGCCAUUAUAAUCUCUACGUUGUCCAAGCUAUCCAAACCCAGAUCUUUCUGGAAAUGUACAUCUGGAGUCACCCUAGGUGGAUUGACUUUAGGGAAGCUCCUAACAACAUCAAGGACUCUGUCAAUGACCUGUUCCUUUGUGAGAUGAUGAUCAUGCGACGACAUUAACCGGAUAGAACUAGAGAAGCUCCAUGGCUGAGAUUUGAAUCCGGCUAGGGCCAGCGUUUCUACGGGUACCCGGAAAUGGUGACGGAGGGCUGCUCUCAUUGCCAUAUCUACCUUCCUCUUCUCAAUUUGGUUGAUUUGGGCAGUCGCAGUAAUAAACACCCAACUAGACCUGAUAACCGGCCGGUACCCGCGGCCUUGGCUUGAGCCGGGUUUAGACAAGGGUCAGGUGGUCUGGCGUGAGAUUGGCUGGCAACUGACGAGUCACGGACUAUACACUUGCCACUUUCAUCCUGUUGUCAGUUCAAUAAACGACUCGUCGUGAAAGUCAGUGGAUGGGUUGGGUCCAACCCAACACACGACCAAAGGACAAAGGUAAGAAGCUGUUCAAAAUCUCAUUUCUCUCGCACAAGGUCAGCUUACGUAAAGCCGUCAACACCUCUUCCUCUCCAAAAAAAUAAGUACACAUCCGAAUAUCGGAGGGGAUACUCCGAUUUGGCGAUCUCGAUUCUCCGCGAUCUAUCUAGGCGAGAUCUCGAUACGGAGAUAGAUCCCAACAAUGGCUCCAGUUUCAGCUCUGGCCAAGUACAAGCUAGUAUUCUUGGGCGAUCAGUCUGUGGGCAAAACUAGUAUCAUCACUCGCUUUAUGUACGACAAAUUCGACAACACCUAUCAGGCGACUAUUGGUAUCGAUUUUCUAUCAAAGACGAUGUACCUUGAAGAUCGAACUGUUAGAUUGCAGCUUUGGUGAGGUCUUAGUAUAAGUACUAUGCAGAUGCACGGGCAUAAAGUUACUUAUUUCCCCUUUUAAUGUUAUUGAACUUGUCCAUAUCCAAAAGCUAUUAUAGAAUGAUGAUAAAGAGAUUGGUAAAAGUUAUUUCUUCUUGAGAUAUCUGCUUCAUGUGUGUUUUGUGACAAACAAUCCUCAUAUAAGCAUUUGCAUGUGAAUGCAAUGGUGCUGCUAUUAUGCUAUGAAAUGUGAUACAUGCAUUGGCUAUCAGUUUCUUUGAUGAUAGUGAGUUCAUUUGCAAAAACAUAUUAUUUAUUUCAUUUGCCUUAAUAUCAGGAUCUCACCUCAAAUACAAAUCACAAUCAAAUGUACCGCAGGGACACUGCUGGACAGGAAAGGUUCAGAAGCCUCAUUCCAAGCUAUAUUAGGGAUUCCUCAGUGGCAGUUAUUGUUUAUGAUGUUGCAAGCAGGCAGUCAUUCCUGAACACUUCUAAGUGGAUUGAAGAGGUUCGCACUGAGCGGGGCAGUGAUGUUAUCAUUGUACUAGUUGGGAAUAAAACAGACCUUGUAGACAAAAGGCAAGUUUCAAUAGAGGAAGGAGAAGCCAAAGCUCGUGAUCUCAAUGUCAUUUUUAUUGAAACUAGUGCAAAGGCUGGCUUCAAUAUAAAGGCACUGUUUCGGAAGAUUGCAGCAGCCUUACCAGGAAUGGAAACACUUUCUUCAACUAAGCAAGAGGACAUGGUGGAUGUAAAUCUGAAGUCUUCCAACGCUAAUCAAUCAGUGCCUCAGCAACAGUCUGGAGGAUGUGCCUGUUGAUACACAAAAUUGAGAUCUAAGCUUUGGCAUUUUGGCAUUUUCAUCGCAUCCUUUUGUGAUCCUAAACAUGUAAAGUUUGUGUCAUCCCCCUUGUAGCAUAUGGUAUUUGACUGUUGUUUGUUUGUUGAGAGGUUUAACUUGUCAGGAGGAAACUAUAUAGUAGUUAAGGCUAGUCCUAACCUUGUCUUGUACGUGUGGUUCACAAGGAACUCGAGUUAAGAAUUGUGGAAAAUCUUCUGUUAGUAUAUAGUUUGUUUCAUAAUUGAAAAAUGUUUCUGCAGAGUGUGUUUAUUAUUGUUAUUGUUAUUGUUGUCGUUAUUGUUGUAGUAAUUGUAAUGACAUAAAUGCAUUGGUGAGUUUUCGUUCUAG
RNAcentral lists this unclassified non-coding RNA (4186 nucleotides) under Hevea brasiliensis (rubber tree). Lineage: Eukaryota; Viridiplantae; Streptophyta; Magnoliopsida; Malpighiales; Euphorbiaceae. The record is from RNAcentral.